RNAcentral lists this ribosomal RNA (599 nucleotides) under uncultured Geobacteraceae bacterium. RNAcentral describes it as "partial 16S ribosomal RNA". The stretch from base 1 to 527 matches the Rfam family "Bacterial small subunit ribosomal RNA", at positions 9 to 546 of the family's 1533-position model. The record is from RNAcentral. Lineage: Bacteria; Pseudomonadati; Thermodesulfobacteriota; Desulfuromonadia; Geobacterales; Geobacteraceae.
GAGUUUGAUCCUGGCUCAGGAUGAACGCUGGCGGCGUGCUUAACACAUGCAAGUCGAACGUGAUUGGAAGCUUGCUUCCAUGAAAGUGGCGCACGGGUGAGUAACGCGUGGAUAACCUGCCCUGGUAUCCGGAAUAACAUCUCGAAAGGGGUGCUAAUACCGGAUAAGCCUACGGAGCCCUCGGUCUCUGCAGGAAAAGGUGGCCUCUAUUUAUAAGCUACCGUAUCAGGAUGGGUCCGCGUACCAUUAGCUAGUUGGUGGGGUAAUGGCCUACCAAGGCGACGAUGGUUAGCUGGUCUGAGAGGAUGAUCAGCCACACUGGAACUGAGACACGGUCCAGACUCCUACGGGAGGCUGCAGUCGAGAAUAUUCCCCAAUGGCCGAAAGGCUGAGGGAGCGACGCCGCGUGUAUGAAGACGCCCUUCGGGGUGUAAAAUACUUUUAACCGGGACGAAACAAUGACGGUACCGGUUGAAUAAGGGGMUGMUAAACUSGURCCAGCAGCCGCGGUAAUWCAAGCRCGCAUUGGAAACACCUCGACCAYGAWUYCGGAUYCACWGSCCGUCGCGUACAGCCAAUGAAACAGCUWRAAWCCAUSC